This 77-nucleotide small RNA is filed under the name Dyadobacter fermentans DSM 18053. The record is from RNAcentral. Lineage: Bacteria; Pseudomonadati; Bacteroidota; Cytophagia; Cytophagales; Spirosomataceae.
UGCCCUGCGAUGGUGUGGGUGUGGCGAAAGCCCCCCGGACGUAGUUACAUACGUUAGGUCACCUUAGGCAGGGCAUU